CCUACGGGAGGCAGCAGUGGGGAAUCUUGCGCAAUGGGCGAAAGCCUGACGCAGCAACGCCGCGUGCGGGAAGAAGGCCUUCGGGUUGUAAACCGCUUUCAGCAGGAACGAAAAUGACGGUACCUGCAGAAGAAGGAGCGGCCAACUACGUGCCAGCAGCCGCGGUGACACGUAGGCUCCAAGCGUUGUCCGGAUUUAUUGGGCGUAAAGAGCUCGUAGGCGGUUCAGUAAGUCGGGUGUGAAAACUCUGGGCUCAACCCAGAGCCUGCAUUCGAAACUGCUGUGACUAGAGUUUGGUAGGGGAGCGGGGAAUUCCUAGUGUAGCGGUGAAAUGCGCAGAUAUUAGGAGGAACACCGGUGGCGAAAGCGCCGCUCUGGGCCAAUACUGACGCUGAGGAGCGAAAGCGUGGGUAGCAAACAGGAUUAGAUACCCUGGUAGUCCACGCCGUAAACGAUGGGCACUAGGUGUGGGUUUCAACUAACGAAAUCCGUGCCGUCGCUAACGCAUUAAGUGCCCCGCCUGGGGAGUACGGUCGCAAGACUAAAACUUAAAUGAAUUGACGG
This 564-nucleotide ribosomal RNA is filed under the name uncultured bacterium. RNAcentral describes it as "bacterial SSU rRNA". It matches the Rfam family "Bacterial small subunit ribosomal RNA", at positions 338 to 916 of the family's 1533-position model. The record is from RNAcentral.